Molecule: long non-coding RNA, 2434 nt
Filed under: Homo sapiens (human)
Lineage: Eukaryota; Metazoa; Chordata; Mammalia; Primates; Hominidae
Description: non-protein coding lnc-NPIPB4-4:1
Source: RNAcentral
AGCUAGUCACUAGGUCCAGCCCACAGUCAGGGCAAGGGGUCACAAAAGGACGUGAAUAUGAGGUGGCAGGGAUCAUUUGGGGUCAUCUUAGAAGCUGUCUACCACAAUGUUCCACUAUGAAUUAUUUCAGAGGAUUCACACCUGGGGCAAGGAGGUACAUCGAUAGCAUGCAACCAGAAGGAGUCCUGAGACAGUCAUUUGCAGAAACCCUGGUGAAGUUUUGGUUUUCCUUGGCCAUGCAAUCAGGGGCUACUCACUGGCUGAUGGACUCAGCUGACACCCAGAUUAAUUUGAGAACUGUAUCCACAGUCAUUAACUACGGGGCAGUGCCCAACUGUCCCCAAGCCAGAAGUAAGAGGUAUGCAUCUUCACGACCUCAAUGACAAACUUGAUCAUAUAAAAUAGGCAGCAUUAAUUGACCUGGUUCAGGCUACGCCGGAGGUGGACUACCACCUGGAAACAGAGAGACAUUGCAGAAGCUUCCCUGAGGUUCCCCUUGCAGCCUUCAGGGGUGAAUUCUUUGACACUGGGUGUUUGAAAUGGAGCAAUCAAGGCCCCAGCAAAAAACAGAUGCACACUCCAAUGGGGUAAUUGAGGACAGUUUAGGAAAGAGAUUAUUUACAGAAGUGUGGACAGGAUUAAGAGAAAACAAGGAUGUGGAGCACGCUGGUAUUAUCAACAGUGGGGUCUAAAAGGGAAGGAGAGAGAGAGAGAGAAUCCUGGAACCCAGAGAGAGCUGUCGCUGUAAGACAGAACUGCCCAACAGGAACUGUGGCCUUUAGGGAGAAACUGAGCUACUGCAAACUCUCAGCCCGGAAGGAAAGAAGCCAAAGGAAUAAAUACCCUGACCUCCCCUUCCACCCUCCAAUCUCCUACUGGGUCCCCACUGGCCAGUCUGGCUCCCUGGGCACACCAGAGUUGAGAAGAACGGACAGCGGAUUUGGAGGCGCAAGAAGAAAGUAUCCAAAACCUAGACAGAAAGCCAGGCAGCUUCACAUGAGCUUUUUAAAAGUGUAGAAGUCAUAAAAAUUCUCCUGGAAAUGAGCAAACACAUGGGCUUUCAGAAGAUGAACACAAAAUAGCUUUUAAAAUGAAAGUCUGCUCUGGAAGGGAAAAGGUGGUUCCUGGCAAUGUGCAGAGGAGGAUUAAAGUCCCCACCCUCAACUCCAGCCUGCUGCGUCUUCCAAGAGAGAAUUCCCCAGAGCCUGGACUAGGGAAGCAUUGGCGCCACUGGGAAAAGCUGCUACAGCCCUUGUUGGGCGGCUCUUUCUCACAGCUACUGAAGCUGCCUUUGCAAAGAUUAUGACAGUGAGAGAAUCUGGUGUUGCUGACUCCAUCUUGUUUCUAGCCUCACAGGCUAACUGUCCUCACUCAUUCCUGGGCAUAGGCCAAGUUAAUCAUGAGAUGAAUUUUUUUAUUUUAUUUAUUUGCUUUUUGAGACAAGGCCUCACUCUGUCGCCCAGGAUGGAGUGCAGUGGCAUGAUCACGGCUCACCACAGCCUCGAACUCCCUGGUCUCAGGGUGGUCCUCCCACCUCAGCCUCCAGAGUAGCUAGGACUGCAGGCGCAUGUUAAUUUUUUUGUAUUUUUUGUGGAGAUGGGGCUUCGCCAUGUUGCCCAGUCUGGUCUUGAACUCCUGGGCUCAAGCGAUCUGCCUGCCUUGGCAUCCCAAAGUGCUGAGAUUGCAGGUGUGAGCUACUGCACCUGGAUAGGUAUUUAGUUUAUAGUUUAAUUUGAAAGCAAGGAUGAUAAUAGUGUUCCACUAAAACUGAUUCCCUCAUUGUUUCAGGGCUGAAACCACCUUUGUAAAACUAAGGAAAGGCCACAAGAUUAGGGAGGGGCCUGAAUUCUGCUAAAAUGGAGGCAUAGUCUUAGGCAUAGUUUUAGAACCAGCCAUUGUUCUAUAAGUCACAAGAUUUGUGACUUCCCCAAUUGCUCCUAUAGAUAACAUCACUAUUAUAGAACCUAGGAUUGGUCUUUUGAGAUGUUUUUCAGACUUUGCAUUCUGGCAAAUAACUGACCCCACCUGGACUUGUAACUCAUGACUCAACUGGUCCUGUGGCCCCUACCCAGAGGUGGACUCAGAGCACCAGGACCAUUUCCCACACCUCUAUUGCAUCCCCAACUAAUCAGCAGCAUCCAUUGCCUAGUCCUCUGCCCACCAAACUAUUUUUGAAAAACCACAGGCUGGGUGCGGUGGCUCAUACCUGUAAUCUCAGCACUUUGGGAGGCCAAGGUGAGGGGAUCACCUGAGGUCAGGAGUUCGAGACCAGCCUGACCAACAUGGAGAAAACCUGUCUCUACCGAAAAUACAAAAUUAGCCGGGCAUGGUGGCACAUGCCUGUAAUCCCAGCUACUUGGGAGGCUGAAGCAGGAGAAUCACUUGAACCCGGGGGGCGGAGGUUGUGGUGAGCCAAGAGCACACCAUUGCACAC